RNAcentral lists this ribosomal RNA (433 nucleotides) under uncultured bacterium. RNAcentral's name for it is "partial 16S ribosomal RNA". It matches the Rfam family "Bacterial small subunit ribosomal RNA", at positions 29 to 507 of the family's 1533-position model. The record is from RNAcentral.
AACGAACGCUGGCGGCAUGCCUAACACAUGCAAGUCGAACGAGACCUUCGGGUCUAGUGGCGCACGGGUGCGUAACGCGUGGGAACCUGCCCUUAGGUUCGGAAUAACUCCCCGAAAGGGGUGCUAAUACCGGAUAAUGUCUUCGGACCAAAGAUUUAUCGCCUUUGGAUGGGCCCGCGUUGGAUUAGCUGGUUGGUAGGGUAAAAGCCUACCAAGGCGACGAUCCAUAGCUGGUCUGAGAGGAUGAUCAGCCACACUGGGACUGAGACACGGCCCAGACUCCUACGGGAGGGAGGAGUGGGGGAUAUUGGGCGAUGGGGGAAAGCCUGAUCCAGCAAUGCCGCGGGAGUGAUGAAGGGCUUAGGGUUGUAAAGCUCUUUUACCCGGGAUGGUAAUGACAGUACCGGGAGAAUAAGCUCCGGCUAACUCCGUG